Molecule: ribosomal RNA, 910 nt
Filed under: Penicillium corylophilum
Lineage: Eukaryota; Fungi; Ascomycota; Eurotiomycetes; Eurotiales; Aspergillaceae
Description: LSU rRNA
Rfam family: Eukaryotic large subunit ribosomal RNA
Source: RNAcentral
AGCAUAUCAAUAAGCGGAGGAAAAGAAACCAACCGGGAUUGCCCUAGUAACGGCGAGUGAAGCGGCAAGAGCUCAAAUUUGAAAGCUGGCUCCUUCGGGGUCCGCAUUGUAAUUUGCAGAGGAUGCUUCGGGAGCGGCCCCCAUCUAAGUGCCCUGGAACGGGCCGUCAUAGAGGGUGAGAAUCCCGUAUGGGAUGGGGUGUCCGCGCCCGUGUGAAGCUCCUUCGACGAGUCGAGUUGUUUGGGAAUGCAGCUCUAAUUGGGUGGUAAAUUUCAUCUAAAGCUAAAUAUUGGCCGGAGACCGAUAGCGCACAAGUAGAGUGAUCGAAAGAUGAAAAGCACUUUGAAAAGAGAGUUAAAAAGCACGUGAAAUUGUUGAAAGGGAAGCGCUUGCGACCAGACUCGCCCGCGGGGUUCAGCCGGCAUUCGUGCCGGUGUACUUCCCCGCGGGCGGGCCAGCGUCGGUUUGGGCGGCCGGUCAAAGGCCCCUGGAAUGUAACGCCUCUCGGGGCGUCUUAUAGCCAGGGGUGCCAUGCGGCCUGCCCGGACCGAGGAACGCGCUUCGGCUCGGACGCUGGCAUAAUGGUCGUAAGCGACCCGUCUUGAAACACGGACCAAGGAGUCUAACAUCUACGCGAGUGUUCGGGUGUCAAACCCGUGCGCGCAGUGAAAGCGAACGGAGGUGGGAACCCCCCGGGGUGCACCAUCGACCGAUCCUGAUGUCUUCGGAUGGAUUUGAGUAAGAGCGUAGCUGUUGGGACCCGAAAGAUGGUGAACUAUGCCUGAAUAGGGCGAAGCCAGAGGAAACUCUGGUGGAGGCUCGCAGCGGUUCUGACGUGCAAAUCGAUCGUCAAAUUUGGGUAUAGGGGCGAAAGACUAAUCGAACCAUCUGGUAGCUGGUUCCUGCCGAA